CCGAAAGGCGUAGUCGAUGGACAACAGGUUAAUAUUCCUGUGCUACCUCACGUUGAGUGAAGGGGGGACAGGGCUCUGACCGCCCACCCGCUGCUGGAGUAGCGGGGGUAAGCCCGAGGGUGGCUGGUAGGUAAAUCCGCCAGCGUAAUCCCGGAGGUGAUACCGAGGCCAUUGCGUGCCGAAGGGGCCAGAGGGGCCUUCAAGAAAAUCCUCUAAGCGUUUGAGACGUGGGGUAUCCGUACUAAAACCGACACAGGUAGGCGAGGAGAGUAUCCUCAGGCGCUCGGGAGAACCUUCGCUAAGGAACUCGGCAAAAUGGCCCCGUAACUUCGG
This 333-nucleotide ribosomal RNA is filed under the name Symbiodinium sp. clade D. RNAcentral describes it as "partial Bacterial large subunit ribosomal RNA". It matches the Rfam family "Bacterial large subunit ribosomal RNA", at positions 1402 to 1739 of the family's 2925-position model. Lineage: Eukaryota; Dinophyceae; Suessiales; Symbiodiniaceae. The record is from RNAcentral.